UAAUACCGGAUGCUUGAUUGAGCCGCAUGGUUCAAUUAUAAAAGGUGGCUUUCAGCUACCACUUACAGAUGGACCCGCGGCGCAUUAGCUAGUUGGUGAGGUAACGGCUCACCAAGGCGACGAUGCGUAGCCGACCUGAGAGGGUGAUCGGCCACACUGGGACUGAGACACGGCCCAGACUCCUACGGGAGGCAGCAGUAGGGAAUCUUCCGCAAUGGACGAAAGUCUGACGGAGCAACGCCGCGUGAGUGAUGAAGGUUUUCGGAUCGUAAAACUCUGUUGUUAGGGAAGAACAAGUACCGUUCGAAUAGGGCGGCACCUUGACGGUACCUAACCAGAAAGCCACGGCUAACUACGUGCCAGCAGCCGCGGUAAUACGUAGGUGGCAAGCGUUGUCCGGAAUUAUUGGGCGUAAAGCGCGCGCAGGCGGUUUCUUAAGUCUGAUGUGAAAGCCCCCGGCUCAACCGGGGAGGGUCAUUGGAAACUGGGGAACUUGAGUGCAGAAGAGGAGAGUGGAUUCCACGUGUAGCGGUGAAUGCGUCGACAUGUGGAGGACACCAGUGGCGAAGGCGACUCUCUGGUCUGUAACUGACGCUGAGGCGCG
RNAcentral lists this ribosomal RNA (604 nucleotides) under uncultured Bacilli bacterium. RNAcentral describes it as "bacterial SSU rRNA". It matches the Rfam family "Bacterial small subunit ribosomal RNA", at positions 164 to 755 of the family's 1533-position model. The record is from RNAcentral. Lineage: Bacteria; Bacillati; Bacillota; Bacilli.